Molecule: RNA transcript, 3373 nt
Organism: Nomascus leucogenys (northern white-cheeked gibbon)
Lineage: Eukaryota; Metazoa; Chordata; Mammalia; Primates; Hylobatidae
Gene: LIG1
Gene name: DNA ligase 1
Exons: 29
Source: RefSeq, a predicted model, not a curated record
UCUGCGCGCGAAUGCCGUGGCGCGAACUUGGGACUGCGGAGGCGCGCCCGGCGGAUCUGAGUGUGUUGCCCGGGCAGCGGCGCGCGGGACCAACGCGAGGCAAGUGGGGCCGUCCGCAAGCAGGAGCAGCUAACAGACGAAGAAAAGAGCUGGACAGGAAGGGAGAAUUCUGACGCCAACAUGCAGCGAAGUAUCAUGUCAUUUUUCCACCCCAAGAAAGAGGGUAAAGCGAAGAAGCCUGAGAAGGAGGCAUCCAACAGCAGCAGAGAGACAGAGCCCCCUCCAAAGGUGGCACUGAAGGAGUGGAAUGGAGUGGUGUCCGAGAGUGACUCUCCAGUGAAGAGGCCAGGGAGGAAGGCGGCCCGGGUCCUGGGCAGUGAAGGGGAGGAGGAGGAUGAAGCCCUUAGCCCUGCUAAAGGCCAGAAGCCUGCCCCGGACUGCUCACAGGUCUCCCCGCCCCGUCCUGCCACAUGUCCUGAAAACAAUGCUUCCCUCUCUGACACCUCUCCCACGGACAGUUCCCCAUCAGGGAUCCCGAAGCGUCGCACAGCUCGGAAGCAGCUCCCGAAACGGACCAUUCAGGAAGUCCUGGAAGAGCAGAGUGAGGACGAGGACAGAGAAGCCAAGAGGAAGAAGGAGGAGGAAGAAGCGGAGACCCUGAAAGAAAGCCUCACAGAGGCUGAAGUGGCAACAGAGAAGGAAGGAGAAGACGGGGACCAGCCCACCACGCCUCCCAAGCCCCUGAAGACCUCCGAAGCAGAGACCCCGACGGAAAGCGUUUCAGAGCCUGAGGUGGCCACGAAGCAGGAACUGCAGGAGGAGGAGGAGCAGACCAAGCCUCCCCGCAGAGCUCCCAAGACGCUCAGCAGCUUCUUCACCCCCUGGAAGCCAGCAAUCAAAAAAGAAGUGAAGGAAGAGGAGCCAGGGGCUCCAGGAAAGGAGGGAGCUGCUGAGGGACCCCUGGACCCAUCCGGUUACAAUCCUGCCAAGAACAACUAUCAUCCCGUGGAAGAUGCCUGCUGGAAACCGGGCCAGAAGGUCCCUUACCUGGCCGUGGCCCGGACGUUUGAGAAGAUCGAGGAGGUGUCUGCUCGGCUCCGGAUGGUGGAGACGCUGAGCAACUUGCUGCGCUCUGUGGUGGCCCUGUCACCUCCAGACCUCCUCCCUGUCCUCUACCUCAGCCUCAACCACCUUGGGCCACCCCAGCAGGGCCUGGAGCUUGGCGUGGGUGAUGGUGUCCUUCUCAAGGCAGUAGCCCAGGCCACAGGUCGGCAGCUGGAGUCCGUCCGGGCUGAGGCAGCCGAGAAGGGCGACGUGGGGCUAGUGGCCGAGAACAGCCGCAGCACCCAGAGGCUUAUGCUGCCACCACCUCCGCUCACUGCCUCCGGGGUCUUCAGCAAGUUCCGCGACAUCGCCAGGCUCACCGGCAGUGCUUCCACAGCCAAGAAGAUAGACAUCAUCAAAGGCCUCUUUGUGGCCUGCCGCCACUCAGAAGCCCGGUUCAUCGCCAGGUCCCUCAGUGGACGGCUGCGCCUUGGGCUGGCAGAGCAGUCAGUGCUGGCCGCCCUCUCCCAGGCCGUGAGCCUCACGCCCCCGGGCCAAGAAUUCCCACCAGCUGUGGUGGAUGCUGGGAAGGGCAAGACAGCAGAGGCCAGAAAGACAUGGCUGGAGGAGCAAGGCAUGAUCCUGAAGCAGACGUUCUGCGAGGUUCCCGACCUGGACCGAAUUAUCCCUGUGCUGCUGGAGCAUGGCCUGGAUUGUCUCCCGGAGCACUGCAAGCUGAGCCCAGGGAUUCCUCUGAAGCCAAUGCUGGCCCAUCCCACGCGAGGUGUCAGCGAGGUCCUGAAGCGCUUUGAAGAGGCAGCUUUCACCUGCGAAUACAAAUAUGACGGGCAGAGAGCACAGAUCCACGCCCUGGAAGGCGGGGAGGUGAAGAUCUUCAGCAGGAAUCAGGAAGACAACACUGGGAAGUACCCGGACAUCAUCAGCCGCAUCCCCAAGAUUAAACUCCCAUCGGUCACAUCCUUCAUCCUGGACACCGAAGCCGUGGCUUGGGACCGGGAAAAGAAGCAGAUCCAGCCAUUCCAAGUGCUCACCACCCGCAAACGCAAGGAGGUGGAUGCGUCUGAGAUCCAGGUGCAGGUGUGUUUGUACGCCUUCGACCUCAUCUACCUCAAUGGAGAGUCCCUGGUACGUGAGCCCCUUUCCCGGCGCCGGCAGCUGCUCCGGGAGAACUUUGUGGAGACGGAGGGCGAGUUUGUCUUCGCUACCUCCCUGGACACUAAGGACGUCGAGCAGAUCGCCGAGUUCCUGGAGCAGUCGGUGAAAGACUCCUGCGAGGGGCUGAUGGUAAAGACCCUGGAUGUUGAUGCCACCUACGAGAUCGCCAAGAGAUCACACAACUGGCUCAAGCUGAAGAAGGACUACCUUGAUGGCGUGGGUGACACCCUGGACCUGGUGGUGAUCGGUGCCUACCUGGGCCGGGGGAAGCGGGCCGGCCGGUACGGGGGCUUCCUGCUGGCCUCCUAUGACGAGGACAGUGAGGAGCUGCAGGCCAUAUGCAAGCUUGGAACUGGCUUCAGCGACGAGGAGCUGGAGGAGCAUCACCAGAGCCUCAAGGCCCUGGUGCUGCCCAGCCCACGCCCUUACGUGCGGAUAGAUGGCGCCGUGACUCCCGACCACUGGCUGGACCCCAGCGCUGUGUGGGAGGUGAAGUGCGCAGACCUCUCCCUCUCUCCCAUCUACCCUGCUGCACGGGGCCUGGUGGAUAGUGACAAGGGGAUCUCCCUUCGCUUCCCUCGGUUUAUUCGAGUCCGUGAAGACAAGCAGCCGGAGCAGGCCACCACCAGUGCCCAGGUGGCCUGUUUGUACCGGAAGCAAAGUCAGAUUCAGAACCAGCAAGGCGAGGACUCAGGCUCUGACCCUGAAGAUACCUACUAAGCCCUUGCUCUCCUAGGGCCUGGGUACAGGGCAUGAGUUGGAUGGACCCCAGGCUUCCAGAGGCCACCUGGUUCCUAGGCUCAUGCUUCUUCUUCCGUCCUCAAAGCCAGCAGCAUCGCGCCUGCAAAUCUCUCUCCUGAGGUCAUCAGGUCACAUCCUCUCCUCCAUCAGAUCUCUGUUCCUCUCUUCUAAGCACUCAAGUGGUUACAUUUAGGGCCCCCUGGAUGAUCCAGGAUAAUCUCAUUUCAGGAUCCUAACUCAAUCCCAAAGUCUCUUUAGUCACAUAAGAUCGCACAUUCACAGAGGCCGGGCACAGUGGCUCACGCCUUGGGGAGGACUUGGGGAGGCUGAGGUGGGAGGAUCACUUGAAGCCAGGAGUUCAAGACUAGCUUGCUCAACACAGCCAGACUUCAUCUCCUCUAAUUUUAUUAAU